ACGUGAGCAACCUGCCUUUGAGUCGGGGAAAACCGUUGGAAACGACGGCUAAUACCGGAUGUCGGCGCCUGGCGACAUCGCCGGAGCGGCUAAAGGGGGCCGCAAGGCUCUCGCUCGUAGAGGGGCUCGCGCACCAUCAGCUUGUUGGCGGGGUAACGGCCCACCAAGGCCUACGGUUAGCUGGUCUGAGAGGAUGACCAGCCCCACUGGGACUGAGAUACUGCCCAGACUCCUACGGGAGGCUGCAGUCGAGGAUCAUUUGCAAUGGGCGAAAGCCUGACAAUGCGACGCUGCGUGGAGGAUGAAGGCCUUCGGGUUGUAAACUCCUGUCAUGGGGGAACAGGCGAGGGGAGUUAACACCUCCCUUAGUUGAGUGUACCCCAAGAGGAAUUGGCGGCUAACUCUGUGCCAGCCGCCGC
Molecule: ribosomal RNA, 419 nt
Filed under: uncultured bacterium
Lineage: Bacteria
Description: bacterial SSU rRNA
Rfam family: Bacterial small subunit ribosomal RNA
Source: RNAcentral